Molecule: transfer RNA, 59 nt
Filed under: Mus musculus (house mouse)
Lineage: Eukaryota; Metazoa; Chordata; Mammalia; Rodentia; Muridae
Also listed under: 1 other name
Source: Rfam by way of RNAcentral
UGGCUCAGUGGUUAAGAGCACUGAAUUGCUCUUCCAGAGAUCCUGAGUUCGAUUCCCAG